AAUGACAGAUUACGGCAAGGAGCAGCGCAAUGAGCUGGAGGCUCUGGAGUCCAUUUACCCCGACUCCUUCACAGUAUUAUCAGAAAAUCCACCCAGUUUCACCAUUACUGUGACAUCUGAGGCUGGAGAAAAUGAUGAAACUGUCCAGACUACCCUCAAGUUUACAUACAGUGAAAAAUACCCAGAUGAAGCUCCUCUUUAUGAAAUAUUCUCCCAGGAAAAUCUAGAAGAUAAUGAUGUCUCAGACAUUUUAAAACUAUUAGCAUUACAGGCAGAAGAAAACCUUGGUAUGGUGAUGAUCUUUACUUUAGUGACAGCUGUGCAAGAAAAACUAAAUGAAAUAGUAGAUCAAAUAAAAACUAGAAGAGAAGAAGAAAAGAAACAAAAAGAAAAAGAGGCAGAGGAAGCUGAAAAGCAAUUAUUUCAUGGCACUCCUGUUACAAUUGAGAAUUUCUUAAGUUGGAAGGCCAAGUUUGAUGCAGAGCUCUUGGAAAUUAAAAAGAAACAAAUGAAAGAAGAAGAACAAGCAGGAAAAAAUAAAUUAAGUGGGAAACAGCUCUUUGAAACAGAUCAUAAUCUUGACACAUCUGAUACCCAGUUUUUGGAAGAUGCUGGAAACAAUGUGGAGGUAGAUGAAUCUCUGUUCCAAGAAAUGGAUGACUUGGAGCUAGAGGAUGAUGAGGAUGAUCCCGACUAUAAUCCUGACCCAGAGAGUGAUUUGACUGACUAGUGGACUAUCCCCAUCUGCAGAGAGGUAUGACUGCCACAGCAUCUGUGGCUGUGCUGACGUGUUGAUUUUUCUUUCUUUUUUUCUAAGAAAAAAUAAUUUUCAGGAGAAUAUUCUUCUGAUAGCUUU
Molecule: non-coding RNA, 856 nt
Organism: Leptonychotes weddellii (Weddell seal)
Lineage: Eukaryota; Metazoa; Chordata; Mammalia; Carnivora; Phocidae
Source: RefSeq, a predicted model, not a curated record